Molecule: non-coding RNA, 77 nt
Organism: Potamilus streckersoni
Lineage: Eukaryota; Metazoa; Mollusca; Bivalvia; Unionida; Unionidae
Source: the annotation of a GenBank genome assembly
GACUGCUCUGGUGGCUUAGUGGUUAUAGCAUCUGCCUUGUAUGCAGGAGGUCACGGGUUCGAACCAGGGCCGAGUCA